GAUGAAGAACGCAGCGAAAUGCGAUAAGUAAUGUGAAUUGCAGAAUUCAGUGAAUCAUCGAAUCUUUGAACGCACAUUGCGCCCGCUAGUAUUCUGGCGAGCAUGCCUGUCCGAGCGUCAUUUCAACCCUCAAGCCCCCGGGCUUGGUGUUGGGGAUCGGCGAGCCUCCGCGCCCGCCGUCCCCUAAAUCUAGUGGCGGUCUCGCUGUAGCUUCCUCUGCGUAGUAGCACACCUCGCACUGGGAAACAGCGCGGCCACGCCGUUAAACCCCCAACUUCUGAACGUUUGACCUCGGAUCAGGUAGGAAUACCCGCUGAACUUAAGCAUAUCAAUAAGCGGAGGA
Molecule: unclassified non-coding RNA, 343 nt
Filed under: soil metagenome
Description: partial contains 5.8S ribosomal RNA, internal transcribed spacer 2, and large subunit ribosomal RNA
Rfam family: 5.8S ribosomal RNA (bases 1-120)
Source: RNAcentral